Molecule: ribosomal RNA, 840 nt
Filed under: uncultured bacterium
Lineage: Bacteria
Description: bacterial SSU rRNA
Rfam family: Bacterial small subunit ribosomal RNA
Source: RNAcentral
CCUAACACAUGCAAGUCGAACGGAUCCUUCGGGAUUAGUGGCGGACGGGUGAGUAACACGUGGGAACGUGCCCUUUGGUUCGGAACAACCCAGGGAAACUUGAGCUAAUACCGGAUGUGCCCUUCGGGGGAAAGAUUUAUCGCCAUUGGAGCGGCCCGCGUCGGAUUACCUAGUUGGUGGGGUAAAGGCCCACCAAGGCGACGAUCCGUAACUGGUCUGAGAGGAUGAUCAGCCACAUUGGGACUGAAACACGGCCCAAACUCCUACGGGAGGCAGCAGUGGGGAAUCUUGCGCAAUGGGCGAAAGCCUGACGCAUCCAUGCCGCGUGAAUGAUGAAGGUCUUAGGAUUGUAAAAUUCUUUCACCGGGGACGAUAAUGACGGUACCCGGAGAAGAAGCCCCGGCUAACUUCGUGCCAGCAGCCGCGGUAAUACGAAGGGGGCUAGCGUUGCUCGGAAUUACUGGGCGUAAAGGGAGCGUAAGCGGACUGUUUAGUCAGAGGUGAAAGCCCAGGGGUCAACCUUGGAAUUGCCUUUGAUACUGGCAGUCUUGAGUACGGAAGAGGUAUGUGGAACUCCGAGUGUAGAGGUGAAAUUCGUAGAUAUUCGGAAGAACACCAGUGGCGAAGGCGACAUACUGGUCCGUUACUGACGCUGAGGCUCGAAAGCGUGGGGAGCAAACAGGAUUAGAUACCCUGGUAGUCCACGCCGUAAACGAUGAGUGCUAGUUGUCGGCAUGCAUGCAUGUCGGUGACGCAGCUAACGCAUUAAGCACUUCGCCUGGGGAGUACGGUCGCAAGAUUAAAACUCAAAGGAAUUGACGGGGGCCCGCACAAGCGGUG